UAAUGUAGCACAACUGUGGAUACAGAUCAGACUAUGGAAGAAACAGGGAUGGGCGUAUCUUUGCCAGAUAACCUUGUCUUGGCAAUGAUGGGUAAUUAAAUUGAUUUGGAACAUUCCAAUUCUGUAAAAUAUUUUCAUGAUGUGACUAUAGGCUGGAAAUCUAGCUUUCAAUUGCACUGAUGUUAACACAAAAUUCCCUUAGUAGUCAACAAAUUUUGUCAUGGAAUGUGUGUCUAUAGAAUUUUCAUAAAGCUCUUGUUCUCUGUUAUAGAUUUUUGGUAAAAAAGAGUUUAAACAACUGUAAAAGGUUAUGUCCAGGGAUUGUGUGCUUUAAAGAGGUUGUCCAACUGUGAAAAACUCUAAGGGGCAGAAGAACGUAAAAAAGUAAAGAAAGAAUACUAAUCUGACUGGUCUCACUAGUCACUCCCAUUUGGAGACCUUCUGAGUCUCCCCAGUGGUCUCUACUUUCUGUUCCCUCUUGAGACAAGAAAUGUGAUCUUCCAGCCAGCCACCAACUGAGCCUGUGCUUUCUUGUAUCGAGAGGGUCCAAGAAAUAGGGACCAGCAAGUGACCCAGGAAACACUGGAGGAAACACUGGAAAGAGCAGUGAAGAAUCAGUGAGAAUUUUUUCAUUUUGUUUAUUUUAUUUUCCAAUUGAACAACACUUUUAAGGUACCUUAACUGUUUGGAAUGUUCAUAGAGAAUGUUCAUAGAGAAUAUAAUGGUGUUAUAUUAUUGCUGUAUUCUCUGAGAAUGUAAAAACAUAUUUUAAAGGGGUUUCUCACUUUCUGAUCAGUAGGGGUCUUACUCAUAAU
Long non-coding RNA from Bufo bufo (common toad), 815 nucleotides. RefSeq lists it as uncharacterized. Lineage: Eukaryota; Metazoa; Chordata; Amphibia; Anura; Bufonidae. The record is from RefSeq and is a predicted model, not a curated record. The transcript has 3 exons.